GGCCGGGGGAAUUAGGCAUGCAGUCGAAUGAUGCUAUGGGGGUAACUCUGUAGCGGAAAUGGCGAAAGGGGCAGUAAUACAUGGAUAACCUACCCUGGGGAUGGGCACAGCCGGUCUAACGGCCGGGUAAUACCCAGAGAUUCGGCGAGGAGGCAUCUUUUUGCCGGGAAAUGAAUUUCGCUUCGGGAUGGGUCCAUGAGCUAUCAGCUAGUUGGUGGGGUAGCGGCCUACCAAGGCUAAGACGGCUAGCGGGUGUGAGAGCACGACCCGCGCCACUGGCACUGAGACACUGGCCAGACACCUACGGGUGGCUGCAGUCGAGGAUCUUCGUCAAUGGGCGAAAGCCUGAACGAGCGAUGCCGCGUGAGCGAUGAAGGCCUUCGGGUUGUAAAGCUCAAAAGUGAAGAGAAAGUGAAACUUGAUCGAUUCACAGUAAGCUCGGGCUAAGUUCGUGCCAGCAGCCGCGGUAAGACGAACCGAGCGAACGUUGUUCGGAAUCACUGGGCUUAAAGGGCGCGUAGGCGGGCAUUCAAGUCUGUGGUGAAAUCCUCCAGCUCAACUGGAGAACUGCCAUGGAUACUGGGUGUCUCGAGGGUGGUAGGGGUAUGCGGAACUAUCGGUGGAGCGGUGAAAUGCGUUGAUAUCGAUAGGAACUCCGGUGGCGAAGGCGGCAUACUGGACCACAUCUGACGCUGAGGCGCGAAAGCCAGGGGAGCGAACGGGAUUAGAUACCCCGGUAGUCCUGGCCCUAAACGAUGGGUACUAGCUAGUAGGGUUCACAUGACUUUACUGGCGAAGCAAAAGUGAUAAGUACCCCGCCUGGGGAGUAUGGUCGCAAGGCUGAAAC
This 847-nucleotide ribosomal RNA is filed under the name uncultured Zavarzinella sp. Its description in RNAcentral is "bacterial SSU rRNA". It matches the Rfam family "Bacterial small subunit ribosomal RNA", at positions 38 to 900 of the family's 1533-position model. Lineage: Bacteria; Pseudomonadati; Planctomycetota; Planctomycetia; Gemmatales; Gemmataceae. The record is from RNAcentral.